This 298-nucleotide unclassified non-coding RNA is filed under the name plant metagenome. RNAcentral's name for it is "partial contains 5.8S ribosomal RNA, internal transcribed spacer 2, and large subunit ribosomal RNA". The stretch from base 1 to 105 matches the Rfam family "5.8S ribosomal RNA", at positions 50 to 154 of the family's 154-position model. The record is from RNAcentral.
GAAAUGCGAUAAGUAAUGUGAAUUGCAGAAUUCAGUGAAUCAUCGAAUCUUUGAACGCACAUCGCGCCCCCUGGUAUUCCGGGGGGCAUGCCUGUUCGAGCGUCAUUUCACCACUCAAGCCUCGCUUGGUAUUGGGCAACGCGGUCCGCCGCGUGCCUCAAAUCGACCGGCUGGGUCUUCUGUCCCCUAAGCGUUGUGGAAACUAUUCGCUAAAGGGUGUUCGGGAGGCUACGCCGUAAAACAACCCCAUUUCUAGGGUUGACCUCGGAUCAGGUAGGGAUACCCGCUGAACUUAAGC